GUCCCGCCUGCCCUGUGACUAUAUGUUUAACGGCCGCGGUAUUUUGACCGUGCAAAGGUAGCGCAAUCACUUGUCUUUUAAAUGAAGACCCGUAUGAAUGGCUCAACGAGGGCUUAACUGUCUCUUUUCUCCAGUCAAUGAAAUUGAUCUCCCCGUGCAGAAGCGGGGAUAUUCUCAUAAGACGAGAAGACCCUAUGGAGCUUUAGACACAAAGCGAACCAAACUGCCCACCCCCAAGAAUUAAAAGGGGGACAAUAAAAUGGAGGCCCGCUCAAUGUCUUUGGUUGGGGCGACCCUGGGGAAAAACAAAACCCCCACGCGGAACAGAAGGACUCCUUCCACAACCAAGAGCCCCCUCUCUAAGUAACAGAACCUCUGACCAUCAAUGAUCCGGCAAGCUGAUCAACGGACCGAGUUACCCUAGGGAUAACAGCGCAAUCCCCUCCCAGAGCCCAUAUCGACAAGGGGGUUUACGACCUCGAUGUUGGAUCAGGAUAUCCUAAUGGUGUAGCCGCUAUUAA
Molecule: ribosomal RNA, 521 nt
Filed under: Scopelogadus beanii
Lineage: Eukaryota; Metazoa; Chordata; Actinopteri; Beryciformes; Melamphaidae
Description: partial 16S ribosomal RNA
Rfam family: Bacterial large subunit ribosomal RNA
Source: RNAcentral